UACAGAGAGUGCAAGCGUUAAUCGGAAUUACUGGGCGUAAAGCGCGCGUAGGUGGAUGCUUAAGUCAAAUGUGAAAUACCUGGGCUUAACCUGGGAAUUGCAUCUGAUACUGGGUAUCUUGAGUAUGGUAGAGGGAAGUGGAAUUUCCGGUGUAGCGGUGAAAUGCGUAGAUACCGGAAGGAACACCAGUGGCGAAGGCGACUUCCUGGACCAAUACUGACACUGAGGCGCGAAAGCGUGGGGAGCAAAC
Molecule: ribosomal RNA, 250 nt
Filed under: uncultured bacterium
Lineage: Bacteria
Description: partial 16S ribosomal RNA
Rfam family: Bacterial small subunit ribosomal RNA
Source: RNAcentral